RNAcentral lists this long non-coding RNA (369 nucleotides) under Olea europaea (common olive). RNAcentral's name for it is "long non-coding RNA (OEUR_LNC007270)". Lineage: Eukaryota; Viridiplantae; Streptophyta; Magnoliopsida; Lamiales; Oleaceae. The record is from RNAcentral.
AGUACCUGAUAAGCACUCCAAACCAAGGAUGCCAAAUCAGAAAGCAAUGCCUUUUGGGACUUGGGUCUGCCAUGGAGAGCAGCCAACGGGUGAAACUCGCCUUUUGGCAAAACUCCAUCGCCUGACAAAGCCGGCCCGUAAUCCACNGGUCUGCCAUGGAGAGCAGCCAACGGGUGAAACUCGCCUUUUGGCAAAACUCCAUCGCCUGACAAAGCCGGCCCGUAAUCCACAGGACCGGCUCCCAAAUCAAUCCACAAGUACCGAUCUUUUCCAGUCCAAACGGAGCCCAAGCAUUUGAUGAAAGCAGGGGAGGGAUCUCCAGGGGUGUAGCUGUAAGCAUAGGGUUUAGACUGGGAACCCAGAUGAAUA